Long non-coding RNA from Colias croceus (clouded yellow), 1299 nucleotides. RefSeq lists it as uncharacterized. NCBI's taxonomy places the organism in Eukaryota, Metazoa, Arthropoda, Insecta, Lepidoptera, Pieridae. The transcript has 4 exons. The record is from RefSeq and is a predicted model, not a curated record.
UAAGAAGUUAAGUUAAGAAAUAUUUAAGUUUCGUUUAUACGUUAGUUCAGUGUAUUGUUGGAAUCAUUAAAAAUGUACGAGAAAAGUAUGCGUAAUUAUGUAAUGGAGUAUAUUUUCGUUGAUAAUUUAAUCCAACAAAGCGUAACACUUCGGCGUUAUGAGCCGCAAUGCGGCAGUCGACGCUCAUUGCCGAGAUGAGUGUGCCAGUAAGCUGCAGCGGCAUCAGAACGAAUAAAAAGUACUAGACAGGUGCAUGGGAGGAUCGAUGGCGCAAUACGAGAUUACCUUCGAAAUUUGUCAUCAACGGUUACCUGAAUAAUUUGGUCACACCAAGCUUUCUUAAUCAAGCCUUCAGGAAUGCGUGGUGUGCACGGACAGAUGCUGCCGCCGAGUUCUCUGAGCGGCUCGACGAUCAGCGGUGUGAUGGGGUUUGGCCACCAUCUGUCUUCCCCAUUGCCCACGCUGGCCGACUGCAAGCCACCGACGCCGCUACCAGGGCUGCAGAGUUCCGCUAGCGUCGCUACCACGCCUUCAACUUCAGCGUCUUGCGCCACAGUACACUCCUACUAUGAUCACAUAAUAUGAAAUAAAUCCUAUGCAGAUUUCGGGAUAAGAGCAGCCUUGAGGAGAUAAAAGACUUCUUUAGAAGAACAGAGUUAAUCAACGAAUUUUUUAAUUAAAAUAUCAAUUGAUACGAUUCUGAUAUAGGAUGAAUGAUACUUAGUAAAUAAAUAAAUAUUAAGUAGUAUAACUUUUUAGAUUAGUAGUAAUUAUAAGUAUUACGUUGAUAUUUAAAUUAAUUAAUACCUAUCAAUAUUGAAGCUUUUAAAAUAUGAUUUUAUAAAAUGUAGGUACGCAAUGUAACCUUUAAACAUAAAUCUUUAAACAAAAAUUUAUUCUUUGAUAUUAUAAAACAGGCUAAUACACGAAAUAUUAAUCUAGAUUAAUUUUAUAAAUAAAACGCAUAUCACAUCACCAAUAAAAUGCAUAAAGGGUGUCACACACUUAUUACACUGAGAUCAAAGGGCCGUACCUACUUCAAACGUGUUUCUUAGGCGCUGAUAACGUAGAAGAUACUCAUUAAAUCCCUGGUGCAUUUAUUAAUUCUACUUAGUAAUUUCUCAACGGCCUGUUUCUGAAUGAAUAUUGUCGUUGAGAACGUCUCAAACCAACUCAAACAAUAGUUAGGCUGGUUUCAGAGCUUGACCGACCGUCAGUGCGUACUGCGUACCGUCGGUCCUGACGAUACGCAUCAACAAUUAUUGUAUGACUACUUAUAACACUAAGUGCAGAUUUACA